CCUACGGGCGGCAGCAGUGGGGAAUAUUGGACAAUGGGGGGAACCCUGAUCCAGCCAUGCCGCGUGUGUGAAGAAGGCCCUCGGGUUGUAAAGCACUUUCAGUGAGGAAGAACGCCUGGUGGUUAAUACCCAUCAGGAAAGACAUCACUCACAGAAGAAGCACCGGCUAACUCCGUGCCAGCAGCCGCGGUAAUACGGAGGGUGCGAGCGUUAAUCGGAAUUACUGGGCGUAAAGCGCGCGUAGGUGGCUUGAUAAGCCGGUUGUGAAAGCCCCGGGCUCAACCUGGGAACGACAUCCGGAACUGUCAAGCUAGAGUGCAGGAGAGGAAGGUAGAAUUCCUGGUGUAGCGGUGAAAUGCGUAGAGAUCGGGAGGAAUACCAGUGGCGAAGGCGGCCUUCUGGACUGACACUGACACUGAGGUGCGAAAGCGUGGGUAGCAAACAGGAUUAGAUACCCGUGUAGUC
Molecule: ribosomal RNA, 465 nt
Filed under: Vreelandella stevensii
Lineage: Bacteria; Pseudomonadati; Pseudomonadota; Gammaproteobacteria; Oceanospirillales; Halomonadaceae
Description: partial 16S ribosomal RNA
Rfam family: Bacterial small subunit ribosomal RNA
Source: RNAcentral